GGAGAGGUGGCUCAGCAGUUAAGAGCACUGGCUGCUCUUCCAGAGGACCUGGGUUCAAUUCCCAGCCCCCACA
RNAcentral lists this transfer RNA (73 nucleotides) under Neotoma lepida (desert woodrat). It matches the Rfam family "tRNA". Rfam says of the family: Transfer RNA (tRNA) molecules are approximately 80 nucleotides in length. Their secondary structure includes four short double-helical elements and three loops (D, anti-codon, and T loops). The record is from Rfam by way of RNAcentral. Lineage: Eukaryota; Metazoa; Chordata; Mammalia; Rodentia; Cricetidae.